Molecule: unclassified non-coding RNA, 312 nt
Filed under: plant metagenome
Description: partial contains 5.8S ribosomal RNA, internal transcribed spacer 2, and large subunit ribosomal RNA
Rfam family: 5.8S ribosomal RNA (bases 1-105)
Source: RNAcentral
GAAAUGCGAUAAGUAAUGUGAAUUGCAGAAUUCCGUGAAUCAUCGAAUCUUUGAACGCACAUUGCGCCCUCUGGCAUUCCGGGGGGCAUGCCUGUCCGAGCGUCAUUACGCACCCUCAAGCCCGGCUUGUGUGAUGGGCCCCGGCGUCUCGUUCGCGAGACGGGCCCGAAAGGCAGCGGCGGCGUCGACCCGAUUAGCCCGAGCGUAUGGGGACUUCUGUCACACGUUCGCGGUGCGGACCGGCGCCUGCUUGACUUUUCUGAUUAUCCAGGUUGACCUCGGAUCAGGUAGGGAUACCCGCUGAACUUAAGC